This 497-nucleotide ribosomal RNA is filed under the name uncultured bacterium. RNAcentral's name for it is "partial 16S ribosomal RNA". It matches the Rfam family "Bacterial small subunit ribosomal RNA", at positions 29 to 507 of the family's 1533-position model. The record is from RNAcentral.
AAUGAACGCUGGCGGCGUGCCUAAUACAUGCAAGUCGAGCGAACGGACGAGAAGCUUGCUUUUCUGAUGUUAGCGGCGGGCGGGUGAGUAACACGUGGAUAACCUACUUAUAAUACUGGGAUAACAUCGGAAAACCGGAGAUACUACCGGAGAAUAUUUUGAACCGCAUGGUUCAAAAGAGAAAGACGCUCUUGCUGUCAGAUAUAGAUGGAUCCGCGCUGCAUUAGCUAGUUGGUAAGGUAACGGCUUACCAAGGCAACGAUGCGUAGCCGACCUGAGAGGGUGAUCGGCCACACUGGAACUGAGACACGGUCCAGACUCCUACGGGAGGCAGCAGUAGGGAAUCUUCCGCAAUGGGCGAAAGCCUGACGGAGCAACGCCGCGUGAGUGAUGAAGGUCUUCGGAUCGUAAAGCUCUGUUAUUAGGGAAGAACAUAUGUGUAAGUAACUGUGGCCAUCUUGACGGUACCUAAUCAGAAAGCCACGGCUAACUACGUG